This 274-nucleotide ribosomal RNA is filed under the name uncultured bacterium. RNAcentral describes it as "partial 16S ribosomal RNA". It matches the Rfam family "Bacterial small subunit ribosomal RNA", at positions 523 to 796 of the family's 1533-position model. The record is from RNAcentral.
AUACGAAGGGGGCUAGCGUUGUUCGGAUUUACUGGGCGUAAAGCGCACGUAGGCGGAUUGAUAAGUUAGGGGUGAAAUCCCGAGGCUCAACCUCGGAACUGCCUCUAAUACUGUCAAUCUCGGGACCGGAAGAGGUGAGUGGAACUCCUAGUGUAGAGGUGGAAUUCGUAGAUAUUAGGAAGAACACCAGUGGCGAAGGCGGCUCACUGGUCCGGUACUGACGCUGAGGUGCGAAAGCGUGGGGAGCGAACAGGAUUAGAAACCCCAGUAGUCC